This 61-nucleotide transfer RNA is filed under the name Trioza anthrisci. Its description in RNAcentral is "tRNA-Ala". The record is from RNAcentral. Lineage: Eukaryota; Metazoa; Arthropoda; Insecta; Hemiptera; Triozidae.
UAGGAUUAUAGUUUAAAAAAAACAUUUAUUUUGCAAAUAAAAAAUAUUCAAAAUUUAAUCU